Molecule: long non-coding RNA, 1285 nt
Organism: Apis dorsata (giant honeybee)
Lineage: Eukaryota; Metazoa; Arthropoda; Insecta; Hymenoptera; Apidae
Exons: 2
Source: RefSeq, a predicted model, not a curated record
GAUUUUUUGGCUAUUGAACGUGUCAGCAUCGAAAACUUCUGGAAAUUUAAUUUGUUUCUUCGAAUUGGAUUCAAUCGCUGAAUAUUUAUGGCCUUGUUCUGUUACUCCAGGGGAAUAAUAAUCUUUUAAGUGAAAAUAUAUUAAUCUUUUCAUUUUCAACUCGAUCAAAGAGAAUCUAGGUGAAUAGUCCCCUUGCUUUGUUGCAUCGAAGAAAUAAUUUAUUUCUCCAGCUGCCACGAUUAGUUCCACUCGACAGUUUCUAGUUCUUGCAAAGGAACCUUUGAAAGAUUGUGAAUACCCUUUGUAUAAAAUGACCAAGUCCGUUAAUAUCUUAUUAAUUCUGUCGAAGAAGUUAAAAGAUUCAUGAAAAAAAGUUCUUUCGAUAUCUCACAAUAAUUGAAUCACAAUUGAUGAGAAGGAAAUAAGAGAAAAAUAAAGGAAUUGAAGAAUCGUAUUAUUAAGUCAUAUUAUUAUUCUAUCAAUGUAUGACGAUUAUACAGAAGCCCUUAUUUUAUGGACAGCCGAGCAGAUCUUGGAGAGUCGAAAAUGAAAAGGGCGUGAAGAAAGAAACACAACAAUAAUGGUAGAGUGACCAAGUUGCUACGGCGUCAAGUCAACCGAUACGUGGGCGGUGCAAAAAUGGAGAAUCGAAACGCUGCGUUGGCCCUCUGUCUCGAAACCAGAGAGAAUGAUCGACAUCAAAGGCAAUCACGCAGAUGAUGACGCGACUCCAGCCAGCAGCUGCUUGCUCGCGUCGAUGAUCAUCGCCCUCGGGUUUCAGGCGUGCCUCUGUCGUCUCUUGUCACGACGUCUCCGAUCGUGUUGGAAUCUCGUUUCCAAAGAAUUCCUCGGUCCUUUCGUAUAACUACGUACGAAUCGAUGAUUAUAACGCGAUGGCCUCCUCCUGGUUUCACUCGAUACGAAAUUCUGCGAGUUUCUUGAGCAACGGGUGAAAUUUUGAUGAGGUAUUCACGAGAGUAAUAAAGUUAUUUGGAGAUUAAAUUGAAUGAAUAUUAUGAAUGAUUAAUGAGCGAAUAUUUUUAUUAACUUAUCGUUAUUUAUCAAGAUUCAAUUUUCAUAAAAUUAAAAUGAAAAAAAAAAGAAUUAAAAAUUAUUAUUUCAAAGCUUUAAAAAUCAUCAUGGAAAAUUUUCUUUAUUAACACUUGAUUAAGGAAUAUAAUUUACGUGUCAAUGAAGAUGGAUAAUGAAUAAUAGCAAUUAUUUCGAUAAAUUACAGUUUCCUCUUAUAUAUGUUAUUUUUCUCAAUGUACAAAAAAAAAAAAAA